RNAcentral lists this ribosomal RNA (466 nucleotides) under uncultured bacterium. Its description in RNAcentral is "partial 16S ribosomal RNA". It matches the Rfam family "Bacterial small subunit ribosomal RNA", at positions 30 to 507 of the family's 1533-position model. The record is from RNAcentral.
CGAACGCUGGCGGCGUGCUUACCACAUGCAAGUCGAACGGAAAGGCCCUGCUUUUGUGGGGUGCUCGAGCGGCGAACGGGUGAGUAACACGUGAGUAACCUGCCCUUGACUUUGGGAUAACUUCAGGAAACUGGGGCUAAUACCGGAUAGGAGCUCCUGCUGCAUGGUGGGGGUUGGAAAGUUUCGGCGGUUGGGGAUGGACUCGCGGCUUAUCAGCUUGUUGGUGGGGUAGUGGCUUACCAAGGCUUUGACGGGUAGCCGGCCUGAGAGGGUGACCGGCCACAUUGGGACUGAGAUACGGCCCAGACUCCUACGGGAGGCAGCAGUGGGUAAUAUUGCACAAUGGGCGGAAGCCUGAUGCAGCAACGCCGCGUGCGGGAUGACGGCCUUCGGGUUGUAAACCGCUUUCGCCUGUGACGAAGCGUGAGUGACGGUAAUGGGUAAAGAAGCACCGGCUAACUACGUG